This 2978-nucleotide long non-coding RNA is filed under the name Homo sapiens (human). RNAcentral describes it as "HSALNT0301233". The record is from RNAcentral. Lineage: Eukaryota; Metazoa; Chordata; Mammalia; Primates; Hominidae.
AGGAAGCGAUGCAGGGACCUCAGGGGAAGGGCAGCCCAAAUCCCCCCAAAGGGCUCCCUGUACUGGCUCCAAACACUGCCUUGUGUAAAACCCACUUCUGAGUGUCACCUGACCAGGCCCAGGACUGGUGCUAUUUCAUUCAGGGAAGCACAAAGAAGUUUGGGGCCACAAGUGGAAAGUCUGAGCCUUCUCUAAUCUACAGCACUUUAAGGACGUUUAGAGAUGACUAAAUUCUUCAUUUUCUUCUUGUUUGCAUUUCUGAAUCUCAAUAAUAAGGAGAUUGCAUGACAGACGGCUGAGUGUGUCAUGACCAACAGAAGAAACAUCAUCAAAGAGGAGCACUCAGAGCCCUGUGAUCCCCAAGUCUGGCUCUGUUAUACAGCCCCUUACCUUAACCACAAUGAUGACCUUCCCCUGCUUGAGACCAACUGCUACAGCUGAAGCACUGGUGUCUUUGGAAGUUUUCUCGGUCGUGAUAAUCUCCAGCAGCUGCAUCUUGUCCACGGGAGAGAAGUAGUGCAUGCCAAUCACCUGGCAAGGGGAACCAAAAGCCAACAGAUCGGAGAAUGCGGGUGAGGAACCUGAGAGCAUUCCUUCUCUGCUAGGAAAACACUAGAAAGAAAGGUGGCUGUGAUAUAGGAAUACUGCUUGACAUAGCUGAGUGGUUUGGUUCCAUGGGUCUUUGAUAAAAGUUUAGUAUGUUUAGGGAGAGCACAUUGGAAUCCUCCUCUUCCAUUUGCUUCUAAGGUUUUUCACUACAGACAUCUGAUCCUCCCAACAAUCAGUGCCAAAACCACAGCUCGAGGCCAAACUAGAUUUAUUGGGGAACGACGGAUGAAGGUUCCACUUAUAUUAAUGAUACUGAUGGUUUAGAUAAGAGGAUCCAGUUUUUUUGGGCGGGGGUGGGGCAGGCAGAAGAAUUAAUGUGUUGGGCUGUCAGAGAAGUAUUUGCAUUUUACACAGAUGGGUCUCACCACCAGGAUACUAGGUUUAACUAACACUCCUCAACAGUCAGAUGCACUUAAGACUCAUUAAACCAGCAGUUCUCCAAGUGUAGUACCCGGACCCAACAAGCACUGUCAUCACCUGGGAGCGUUAGGCCUGCACAUUCUCAGGCCUAGCCCAGCCCUACUGAAUCAGAAACUCCAUGGGUGGGGCCCAGAUUUGUUUUAAUAAUCCCUCCUGGUGAUUCUGAUGCGUGCUAAGGUUUCAGAGAAACCCCUCAUUGAGCUAACAGUUACAUAGUCUUCCCAACAGAACUGUGGUGAAAGAAGUCUAAUUCAUUAAUUUAUAGUUUUGCUUUCUCCCUCUCACUUUAGCUAUAAGGUACAACAAGUGAUAUCUGUAAUUUUUGGCUGCUCAUUAUCUACCUGCUCUUCAAUACAUUUACCACUUAUUCCUUACAUUUAAUCCAUUACAACCCUAUGAACUGGUCAGCCUAAUUAUCUAGAUGAGGAAAAAAGGUAUCAAGAGGUUAGUAGUACAGAGUCAGUCAGCAUAUGACGGGGUGGGAUUCCAUCACAGGUCUGUCUAUCUCCAAUGCCAUUAUGUAAUACACAGAUCAAGUAAAUGUUAUGUAAACUUAUCAAUCCAAAAGUUGUUUCUAACCCCUAAAGUGUUCUUUUACUUACAUCUGAAAUACUUAGGACCUGAUUCAGACUCAGUACUCCUGAGCAAAAGGAAUUAGCCUUUAUUGAUGUAGAAUUUCUAUAUAAUAAAAUGCACAGAUCUUGAAGUGUUCACAUCAAUGAGUUUUGACAACUGUAUAUACAUCCAUAUAAUCACUAACCCAAGCAAAAUAUAUUUACAUCACUCAGAAAGUUGUGCCAAAGAUGACCAACUCAUCCUGGAUGGCUGGGGAUUUCCCAAUUUGUGGCACUGAGGGUCCUGUAUCCCUUGCUCCCGGGCAAACCAAGAUGGUUGGUCACCCUAUUUUGUCUUUUUGGCCUUACUUUUAAAUGAAUGACAAAAGGCAAGCAGGUGAGAAAAGCUGUCCUAGAUACUUGGAGGGCAGAACUGCAAAGUGUGAUGCUUGCUCUGCUCCGAUGGCGGGGAGAGGUUACCAUCAAAUGAACAGCAACGGCAUCGCCUGUACUGAUUUUAGAUGCCACACAGAUGUCUUGAGUGAUAUGACAUGGCCAGACUGUCCAUCUGUAGACUAUCGGCUGCAACUUCUCCCUAUGACCUUUAGCCUGCCAUCAUUGAGCCUGCCUCUGUCAGGUCCCCGCAUCACUUCUAAUCUGCUGUGUGCUAGGAAACUAGAUUACCUUGCAUUAGCAAGCUAGAAGAGUAGGAAUAAAUAGGCUUUUGUGUUUUCAGUACAUAGAAUUUGUAUUAACACUUUCAGCUGCUUAAAGUUCUUUUAUAAUUCCUGCCUACCUUCGGCUGGUUCUGGUUAGCAGAGGCUAACUGGUAUCCUCCAGAGAAGUGAGUUGUUUUACUUCUCUUUGAAUGAUUUCACUUCCCCUUAAUUACUCUGGUUGAGAGCAAAAAUAAAUUUCUGGGCAUCAUUCCAAAUACUCACAGAAAGUGCUUCUAUACCCAGCCCUUUCAUGUCCCGGGGUAGAAGGUGUAAGCAAACCCACGGGCAGACACAUCCCACCAUUCCUGCCAUUCCCUGAUCUGGAGGUGGAACCAAACCUGUUCUAAACAGUCACUGACUCUGCUCUGUAGCCAAACUGGUAUUUUGGAGCAUCCUUUCUUAAGGCCUAUCCUUCAAUGCCUAAUUCUAGGAUACAGGUGGGCUUUAUAUCCUGAACCUGAAAAAUAAUGCCCAUUUGGGAUCCUUGAAAAGGAUAUUUUUUGUUGUACUUAACUUACUCCUGCAUCUCACACUAGUCAUGGUAUUAGCAUUUAUUGUGUCCAGUGUUUAGGAACCACCCGCAUCCACUCCGUAAUCCACUGUCUCUUCUGUACUCAAGCUGUAAGCCUUUAUCAGUGAAUCUGAAGCAAUAAAACAUCUCAGGGUUUUUCUCUGU